CUGAACCUUCGGGGAACGUUAACGGCGUCGAGCGGCGGACGGGUGAGUAAUGCCUGGGAAAUUGCCCUGAUGUGGGGGAUAACCAUUGGAAACGAUGGCUAAUACCGCAUAAUAGCUUCGGCUCAAAGAGGGGGACCUUCGGGCCUCUCGCGUCAGGAUAUGCCCAGGUGGGAUUAGCUAGUUGGUGAGGUAAUGGCUCACCAAGGCGACGAUCCCUAGCUGGUCUGAGAGGAUGAUCAGCCACACUGGAACUGAGACACGGUCCAGACUCCUACGGGAGGCAGCAGUGGGGAAUAUUGCACAAUGGGCGCAAGCCUGAUGCAGCCAUGCCGCGUGUAUGAAGAAGGCCUUCGGGUUGUAAAGUACUUUCAGCAGUGAGGAAGGUAUAUGCGUUAAUAGCGUAUUCAUUUGACGUUAGCUGCAGAAGAAGCACCGGCUAACUCCGUGCCAGCAGCCGCGGUAAUACGGAGGGUGCGAGCGUUAAUCGGAAUUACUGGGCGUAAAGCGCAUGCAGGUGGUUUGUUAAGUCAGAUGUGAAAGCCCGGGGCUCAACCUCGGAAUUGCAUUUGAAACUGGCAGACUAGAGUACUGUAGAGGGGGGUAGAAUUUCAGGUGUAGCGGUGAAAUGCGUAGAGAUCUGAAGGAAUACCGGUGGCGAAGGCGGCCCCCUGGACAGAUACUGACACUCAGAUGCGAAAGCGUGGGGAGCAAACAGGAUUAGAUACCCUGGUAGUCCACGCCGUAAACGAUGUCUACUUGGAGGUUGUGGCCUUGAGCCGUGGCUUUCGGAGCUAACGCGUUAAGUAGACCGCCUGGGGAGUACGGUCGCAAGAUUAAAACUCAAAUGAAUUGACGGGGGCCCGCACAAGCGGUGGAGCAUGUGGUUUAAUUCGAUGCAACGCGAAGAACCUUACCUACUCUUGACAUCCAGAGAACUUUCCAGAGAUGGAUUGGUGCCUUCGGGAACUCUGAGACAGGUGCUGCAUGGCUGUCGUCAGCUCGUGUUGUGAAAUGUUGGGUUAAGUCCCGCAACGAGCGCAACCCUUAUCCUUGUUUGCCAGCACUUCGGGUGGGAACUCCAGGGAGACUGCCGGUGAUAAACCGG
This 1105-nucleotide ribosomal RNA is filed under the name Vibrio sp. UST061013-028. RNAcentral describes it as "bacterial SSU rRNA". It matches the Rfam family "Bacterial small subunit ribosomal RNA", at positions 67 to 1166 of the family's 1533-position model. Lineage: Bacteria; Pseudomonadati; Pseudomonadota; Gammaproteobacteria; Vibrionales; Vibrionaceae. The record is from RNAcentral.